AUCUGGCUCAGGACGUACGCUGGCGGCGUGCCUAAUACAUGCAAGUCGAACGAACUCUGGUAUUGAUUGGUGCUUGCAUCAUGAUUUACAUUUGAGUGAGUGGCGAACUGGUGAGUAACACGUGGGAAACCUGCCCAGAAGCGGGGGAUAACACCUGGAAACAGAUGCUAAUACCGCAUAACAACUUGGACCGCAUGGUCCGAGUUUGAAAGAUGGCUUCGGCUAUCACUUUUGGAUGGUCCCGCGGCGUAUUAGCUAGAUGGUGGGGUAACGGCUCACCAUGGCAAUGAUACGUAGCCGACCUGAGAGGGUAAUCGGCCACAUUGGGACUGAGACACGGCCCAAACUCCUACGGGAGGCAGCAGUAGGGAAUCUUCCACAAUGGACGAAAGUCUGAUGGAGCAACGCCGCGUGAGUGAAGAAGGGUUUCGGCUCGUAAAACUCUGUUGUUAAAGAAGAACAUAUCUGAGAGUAACUGUUCAGGUAUUGACGGUAUUUAACCAGAAAGCCACGGCUAACUACGUGCCAGCAGCCGCGGUAAUACGUAGGUGGCAAGCGUUGUCCGGAUUUAUUGGGCGUAAAGCGAGCGCAGGCGGUUUUUUAAGUCUGAUGUGAAAGCCUUCGGCUCAACCGAAGAAGUGCAUCGGAAACUGGGAAACUUGAGUGCAGAAGAGGACAGUGGAACUCCAUGUGUAGCGGUGAAAUGCGUAGAUAUAUGGAAGAACACCAGUGGCGAAGGCGGCUGUCUGGUCUGUAACUGACGCUGAGGCUCGAAAGUAUGGGUAGCAAACAGGAUUAGAUACCCUGGUAGUCCAUACCGUAAACGAUGAAUGCUAAGUGUUGGAGGGUUUCCGCCCUUCAGUGCUGCAGCUAACGCAU
RNAcentral lists this ribosomal RNA (879 nucleotides) under Lactobacillus acidophilus. RNAcentral describes it as "bacterial SSU rRNA". It matches the Rfam family "Bacterial small subunit ribosomal RNA", at positions 17 to 860 of the family's 1533-position model. The record is from RNAcentral. Lineage: Bacteria; Bacillati; Bacillota; Bacilli; Lactobacillales; Lactobacillaceae.